Long non-coding RNA from Poecilia reticulata (guppy), 1642 nucleotides. RefSeq lists it as uncharacterized. The record is from RefSeq and is a predicted model, not a curated record. NCBI's taxonomy places the organism in Eukaryota, Metazoa, Chordata, Actinopteri, Cyprinodontiformes, Poeciliidae.
GGCUAACCUAGCCUAAAUUAAAAAAAAAAAAAUUGUUUAUAAAAAAAAAAUAAAAUGGAUGGAAAACCGAUACCUUAAACAUAACUUCGGUUUUCGGCGUAUUUCAGGGGCUAAACCAAAACAAGAAUGGACAAACCUUAAAAGGCUUUUAUAGGGGUGUAGUGUUUGGAGCCAUGUGACAGUAGCAUUAAGGCACAUUUUUCGUUCAUUCCACUAAAACGUCGAGCUCAUAAACCCGUGAUGAAACAGAAUCUCUUUUGAUGACUCAAAGCAACCACGAUUACUGCAUUCCUUUAAAAGCAGCGUUGGAAAUAGUUUUGUUUUCAUGUCAGGAGCGCAAAGCCACAAGGCUGCAUAAAGCAAAGAUUUAUUGGACGGACAUUGCCACACUUGCUUGGGGGAGGGAGGGCAGGGGGGGAAUGAGCUUCUCAAUGUAUUUCUAUUAUCCUUCCUACCUGAAAUGGUCAUGGAGCAAGCAUAAACACUGUUACAAUCGACCUUUUUACAACGAAAUCUAUUUGCCAGCGUUAUUAUGCUGAUGGGAAUGCUAUUGAGCUGCUCUCUUCCCUUGUUCGUGCUCAGUUUCAUAUGGCUCUUCUAGAAGAAUCUGUAAAAGCCACAUUCAGGAAGUUGCUCCCUGUUUAUUUUUAUUAUUCGUCCGGAAGUACGUGGGGUAUUUUCGUUCACAAAAUAUAUAUCUGUAUGUGGCUUAUUGAGUAAGAAGAGGGGAAGUGGAGAAGGAGAAGAAGUGGAAGGCCUCUCUCUCAGUUUGUUGCUUAUAUACCAAACAAAGAGUCCUGGAAGCCUGUGCGCGAUCAAUCUUACUCGCCAAAAGGUCUGACAGCUCGGUGCCCUCACAACACAUUUAAGGCUUCUAACUCUCCCCCGGAUCAAAUGCAGCCAGGAAGCGCCGAGAAACAGUGGUCACUCAGAUUAGAACCGGUUUCUGCUCGCACUGGUAGUCUGUUUGUCGCUGGAGGGAUUUUUUUUUUAAGAACAAGGGGAAAAAAGGAAUCUGGUCACACAAGAUGCGACCAUUUCCUCUAUAAGAGCCAUCGAACCCUCCACGAAGACCCGGGUGACAUUUUUAUUAUUAUGGAUGUGCCCACGCAGAUGAGAGAGACGCGCCGGGAAAGAGAAGGGGGCCCACCCUCAAGGAGGAGAGAGUAAAUAGAUCAAAUGUUGUUGUUUUUUCUUUUUCUUUUUUUAUCUGCGAGUUGUUCUUGUUUUUUUUUUAAAUGAGAUCUAAAGCGAAGCAGUUUUGACUCUUUAAAUUAUUUUUAAAAAUUUCUGGCAGGACUUUAAUUUAUGAAAUUUACUUCUUGUAUAUAAUAUAUGUAGUUUUAAAAGAGCGGUGAUUUGAUGCUGCUUUACCUAUGAAUCCAUACCAUCGUUGAUAAUCCACUUUUAUUUUUAGAUAGAUAUAACAGCGCUAUGUGAUAAUAUAAAUGUGAAACUGCUUGCGAAUUUUAAAAUUAAAACGGGUGAAUCUGGUUUUUUUGUUUUUUUGUUGUUUUUUUUUCAUUUCAAUGCCUUUAUUUGUUUCCUCGAACUGGAGCAGCAUGGAAUGUUUGACAUCGAGAAGAAGGAAAAAAAUGAUGAUGUGUUUUGCCUUUUAUUCAAUAAAGAAACUGCAAACGUG